Molecule: ribosomal RNA, 1436 nt
Filed under: uncultured organism
Description: 16S ribosomal RNA
Rfam family: Bacterial small subunit ribosomal RNA
Source: RNAcentral
AACGCUAGCUACAGGCUUAACACAUGCAAGUCGAGGGGCAGCAUUUCAGUUUGCUUGCAAACUGGAGAUGGCGACCGGCGCACGGGUGAGUAACACGUAUCCAACCUGCCGAUAACUCGGGGAUAGCCUUUCGAAAGAAAGAUUAAUACCCGAUGGUAUAAUCAGACCGCAUGGUCUUAUUAUUAAAGAAUUUCGGUUAUCGAUGGGGAUGCGUUCCAUUAGGCAGUUGGUGAGGUAACGGCUCACCAAACCUUCGAUGGAUAGGGGUUCUGAGAGGAAGGUCCCCCACAUUGGAACUGAGACACGGUCCAAACUCCUACGGGAGGCAGCAGUGAGGAAUAUUGGUCAAUGGGCGCAGGCCUGAACCAGCCAAGUAGCGUGAAGGAUGACUGCCCUAUGGGUUGUAAACUUCUUUUAUAUGGGAAUAAAGUUUUCCACGUGUGGAAUUUUGUAUGUACCAUAUGAAUAAGGAUCGGCUAACUCCGUGCCAGCAGCCGCGGUAAUACGGAGGAUCCGAGCGUUAUCCGGAUUUAUUGGGUUUAAAGGGAGCGUAGGUGGACAGUUAAGUCAGUUGUGAAAGUUUGCGGCUCAACCGUAAAAUUGCAGUUGAUACUGGCUGUCUUGAGUACAGUAGAGGUGGGCGGAAUUCGUGGUGUAGCGGUGAAAUGCUUAGAUAUCACGAAGAACUCCGAUUGCGAAGGCAGCUCACUGGACUGCAACUGACACUGAUGCUCGAAAGUGUGGGUAUCAAACAGGAUUAGAUACCCUGGUAGUCCACACAGUAAACGAUGAAUACUCGCUGUUUGCGAUAUACAGUAAGCGGCCAAGCGAAAGCAUUAAGUAUUCCACCUGGGGAGUACGCCGGCAACGGUGAAACUCAAAGGAAUUGACGGGGGCCCGCACAAGCGGAGGAACAUGUGGUUUAAUUCGAUGAUACGCGAGGAACCUUACCCGGGCUUAAAUUGCAUUUGAAUAUAUUGGAAACAGUAUAGCCGUAAGGCAAAUGUGAAGGAGCUGCAUGGUUGUCGUCAGCUCGUGCCGUGAGGUGUCGGCUUAAGUGCCAUAACGAGCGCAACCCUUAUCUUUAGUUACUAACAGGUCAUGCUGAGGACUCUAGAGAGACUGCCGUCGUAAGAUGUGAGGAAGGUGGGGAUGACGUCAAAUCAGCACGGCCCUUACGUCCGGGGCUACACACGUGUUACAAUGGGGGGUACAGAAGGCAGCUACCUGGUGACAGGAUGCUAAUCCCAAAAGCCUCUCUCAGUUCGGAUCGAAGUCUGCAACCCGACUUCGUGAAGCUGGAUUCGCUAGUAAUCGCGCAUCAGCCAUGGCGCGGUGAAUACGUUCCCGGGCCUUGUACACACCGCCCGUCAAGCCAUGAAAGCCGGGGGUACCUGAAGUACGUAACCGCAAGGAGCGUCCUAGGGUAAAACUGA